This 484-nucleotide ribosomal RNA is filed under the name uncultured bacterium. RNAcentral describes it as "partial 16S ribosomal RNA". It matches the Rfam family "Bacterial small subunit ribosomal RNA", at positions 30 to 507 of the family's 1533-position model. The record is from RNAcentral.
AUUGAACGCUGGCGGCAGGCCUAACACAUGCAAGUCGAGCGGAUGAAGGGAGCUUGCUCCUGGAUUCAGCGGCGGACGGGUGAGUAAUGCCUAGGAAUCUGCCUGGUAGUGGGGGAUAACGUCCGGAAACGGGCGCUAAUACCGCAUACGUCCUGAGGGAGAAAGUGGGGGUUCUUCGGACCUCACGCUUUCAUAUGAGCCUAGGUCGGAUUAGCUAGUUGGUGGGGUAAAGGCCUACCAAGGCGACGAUCCGUAACUGGUCUGAGAGGAUGAUCAGUCACACUGGAACUGAGACACGGUCCAGACUCCUACGGGAGGCAGCAGUGGGGAAUAUUGGACAAUGGGCGAAAGCCUGAUCCAGCAAUGCCGCGUGUGUGAAGAAGGUCUUCGGAUUGUAAAGCACUUUAAGUUGGGAGGAAGGGCAGUAAGUUAAUACCUUGCUGUUUUGACGUUAACAACAGAAUAAGCACCGGCUAACUUCGUG